AAUAUGACUCUCGGCAACGGAUAUCUCGGCUCUCGCCACGAUGAAGAAUGUAGCGAAAUGCGAUACUUAGUGUGAAUUGCAGAAUCCCGUGAAUCAUCGAGUCUUUGAACGCAAGUUGCGCCCGAGGCUUCGGCCGAGGGCACGUCUGCUUGGGCGUCGCAU
This 162-nucleotide ribosomal RNA is filed under the name Metasequoia glyptostroboides. RNAcentral describes it as "5.8S ribosomal RNA". It matches the Rfam family "5.8S ribosomal RNA". Rfam says of the family: 5.8S ribosomal RNA (5.8S rRNA) is a component of the large subunit of the eukaryotic ribosome. The record is from RNAcentral. Lineage: Eukaryota; Viridiplantae; Streptophyta; Pinopsida; Cupressales; Cupressaceae.